This is a long non-coding RNA of Colossoma macropomum (tambaqui), 483 nucleotides long. RefSeq lists it as uncharacterized. The record is from RefSeq and is a predicted model, not a curated record. Lineage: Eukaryota; Metazoa; Chordata; Actinopteri; Characiformes; Serrasalmidae. The transcript is spliced from 2 exons.
CUGAGUUCAGUCUGAAAGAUCAGUUUGAAGCGUCAUUCAGCUGGAUUUUCUGCAGCACAAAUAACCUUCCCAGAAUGCAAGACGCCAAGAAUCUCAUGGACUUAUUGAUCUUACACACCAGUUUUGCAUAUAUUUGCAUAUUGAUGAGCAAGCAACCAAUCAGAGAAGCCAAUUAAAUAAAAAAAAUUAAAAUGAGUCUUUAUAAGGCUUGUGAUGUGAACGCUGUUCUCGACGACGGUGAAGACGAGAAAAAACACUAAUAAACAGAUCAGCGGGAGGGGAGCCGCGGCGGUGGCGGUAGAGUAAAUUUGGGCCGAUGCCCCGCCCUUCAGUGUUUAAGAGGCGGUUUCUCAGCCUCACCCAUAGUAGGCAGGAUUUGAGACGAGCCAGUAUUGGUUCAGCCCACCAUCUCAAGCACAGCGCCAUGGAAACGACGCAACCUGAGCGGCCCAAGUUUAUACAAAUAAAAGGCACUAUGAACAA